This 253-nucleotide ribosomal RNA is filed under the name uncultured bacterium. RNAcentral's name for it is "partial 16S ribosomal RNA". It matches the Rfam family "Bacterial small subunit ribosomal RNA", at positions 524 to 776 of the family's 1533-position model. The record is from RNAcentral.
GACGGGGGAUGGAAGCGUUAUCCGGAAUCACUGGCCGGAAAGCGUCUGUAGGUGUUGAUGCAAGUCACUGGUGCAAAACUCUGGCUCAACCGGAGGAAAGCCAGUGAAACUGCAUGACUAGAGUGUGGGAGAGGUAGAAGGAAUUCCCUGAGUAGCGGUGAAAUGCGUAGAUACAGGGAAGAACACCGGAGGCGAAAGCGUUCUACUGGAACACAACUGACUCUGAGAGACCAAAGCUAGGGGAGCGAAUGGG